This 468-nucleotide ribosomal RNA is filed under the name uncultured bacterium. Its description in RNAcentral is "partial 16S ribosomal RNA". It matches the Rfam family "Bacterial small subunit ribosomal RNA", at positions 28 to 507 of the family's 1533-position model. The record is from RNAcentral.
GACGAACGCUGGCGGCGUGCUUAGCACAUGCAAGUCGAACGGAAAGGCCCUGCUUUUGUGGGGUGCUCGAGUGGCGAACGGGUGAGUAACACGUGAGUAUCCUGCCCUUGACUUUGGGAUAACUUCAGGAAACUGGGGCUAAUACCGGAUAGGAGCUCCUGCUGCAUGGUGGGGGUUGGAAAGUUUCGGCGGUUGGGGAUGGACUCGCGGCUUAUCAGCUUGUUGGUGGGGUAGUGGCUUACCAAGGCUUUGACGGGUAGCCGGCCUGAGAGGGUGACCGGCCACAUUGGGACUGAGAUACGGCCCAGACUCCUACGGGAGGCAGCAGUGGGGAAUAUUGCACAAUGGGCGGAAGCCUGAUGCAGCAACGCCGCGUGCGGGAUGACGGCCUUCGGGUUGUAAACCGCUUUCGCCUGUGACGAAGCGUGAGUGACGGUAAUGGGUAAAGAAGCACCGGCUAACUACGUG